Molecule: long non-coding RNA, 1290 nt
Filed under: Citrus x clementina
Lineage: Eukaryota; Viridiplantae; Streptophyta; Magnoliopsida; Sapindales; Rutaceae
Description: Citrus clementina (C. clementina) long non-coding RNA (CCLE_LNC004480)
Source: RNAcentral
AACGCUCGGUUUCACUAAAGCCAAGAAACGGCGCGUUUCACUUGCCUAUUUCCCCUUUACUUCUUCGUUUCCCAUCUUUCACUUAACUCUUUCCUGUAUCCUUUUCUCUGGCUGCUUAUGAAGAAACAACAAAUUUGCUCACAUCAAGUUCAAAUCAUCAUCUUCUUCAAAGAUGCCAAGAUCCUUUGCUUCUCUUUUCUCCCGCAAGAAAUCGCAAACACUUACCUUCAAAGAUUACUGCACAAACUGGUGCAACACUCUGCAAAAAACCCUCCUCCCUCCCUCUCAUUCAUAAAGAUUACGCACCCACGCACUUGUGCAUGUAUAUCUGACUGAUAUGAGUAGCUGCAGAAUCUGUUUUGUUCAUCUUCAUGCUAUGCUUGUAGCAGAUAAGGUGAGGAAAUUGUGGUGGUUUAAAGUUUUGGAUUCUUAUGAUGGGUUGAUUGUACUUCCUAAUUUGUGGGCGUUUGUGAUUUGAUUCUUCAGUGGCUUACAAUUAUCAUUCAAGCUCUAUAUACUUUUCAUUCCAUUCUUUUUAUGCCAAUAAUUUAAAAAAUGCAUGCAAAGAUUCAUUUUCACUAUUUUACAGUAGCCACACAGAAUAAAGAACAAUUGAAAAAAGAAUCUGGAAUUUUCUUUCUACUUUAAUUUGGCCGCUUUUUAUGCUUGAGCUACUUCCCUUUAAUCUGUUUGUUUGCUUUUAAUCUGAAAUGAGGAGAACGAAGACGAAGAAGCAACUUGGUUCUGUAACUUCUGUUGAUGCUUUUGCGAUUUAUCUAAAGCCAAACGUCAUCGUUUCAUAGCAAAUAAAAACAAAAAAAAAAUUAAUGACGAAACGGCGUCGUGUUAGUCAGUUUCGGGGUUUGACCCGGGACAAACAUCAGCACUGUAAAAUUUAUCACCAUUUAUUUUACUUGUUUACUUAAUUUUUGAAAAAUUUCUAAAAAGACAGAAAGAUGAUUUUAAAAUGUUAUAUAUAUAAUGUAACCAUUGCAAAAUAAUUUUAUAUAAAAUUUUACCAAAUAUAUUUUUACUCUUUGCAUUUUUUAAGACAAACCAGUAAGCAUAUUUUACUUUUUUUUAUUUUCAAAUGUUAGUUUCAAUAUAAAUUAUCGAGUACAUUUUUAUUUUCACUCAACUAAAAUCCAAAUUUAUUGAGCAUAUUCUGGAUAGAACCUUACAAGUAAGUUAAAUAAUGGCCAUGUGAAUGCAGCAAAUAAUUUAUGGAUGAGCUUUUCUCCAAAAUCUAUCCAAUAUGAACAACAAUUUUGGAGGAAAAAAUAAUUCGUG